Molecule: long non-coding RNA, 3047 nt
Organism: Mauremys mutica (yellowpond turtle)
Lineage: Eukaryota; Metazoa; Chordata; Testudines; Geoemydidae
Exons: 4
Source: RefSeq, a predicted model, not a curated record
ACUGUGAGACAGAUGACCCAUGAUCUCAUCAUGAUCCAAGGGAGAUGGGAAUGGCUUUCUGAGGGAGAGAAGAUCUAGGGUGUGGGCUGUGUAGUUCUAAAGAAGGAACCCUAGUAGCAGCUAAGCCUGCAGAAAAGAAUGCAGGGUAGCCUCAUGCUGUUCUUCCCUUCCUGUGGAUUUCCCAUCUCCCUGCUGGUUCAUAUGUUUUUAGUCACACCUUAAUUAAUUUUGCUGGAGACAAGUAAAUAGCUUCCCACCUGUCUGGAAGACAACCUGUUUAUCAACUCCCUUUAACCUUUAGGCACAUACUUUAAAGCAUAAUAUAAAGUAUUGUCUCUGGAGAACAAAAAGUUUUAGGGCACACAGCCUAUCCUGCCUACUGAAUCAUCUCGACUGACAAGAGGAGGUGUGAAAACUCUGCCUGCUUCUAUUCUGCCACAUAUUCCUGGCUUUACAAAGGAGAGAGCUUUUUUCACAGGUGGGGAUUAUUGAGCCAUUAAAGCUCUUGAUCACAGCUAUGAAUGCAUAAAGAGGACAUGUCAAUUCCAUGUGGUAUAACUUAGAAAUUAAUUGGGUGGUGAAACCAAGCAGCUCAUAUGAUGACUGUCUCAUCAGAUACACAAUAUAGGCUGACUAUCAGAGCCUACUUGUGGUUUAAAAAUAAAGUUGUAAACAUUACAAAAUUGUGCUGACAUACAAGUUACUGAUUCUGAAAUGUUCCACUUUGUUUGUUCAUGUUUUACCUCUUUAGAAUAGAAUUGUUGCAUAAACCCAUCUAUUUAUUUAGAUGUGAAGAGACACCACAAACUAUUAUGGUCUUAGCUACAUCAGUGUGUAUUAAAGUAAUUAGACUGUGUAUUUUUAAACCUAAGGCCCUGCAGCAAUAGUUAAUUAAAAGAACAUGAAUUUAGAGUCUGCAGAAUAAUUGUGCCUAGGACAAUACUUGACCAAACAUAAUUAGCUGAAUUUAGAUAAAUUCUCAAUGUGGCUUUCAGCAACCUGAAUAGAAAAAUCAUACACUUCACUGGGUAUAAAUAGGUUUGAAAUGAACAUUUGGAAUGUAUGAGAAUAUUUUGCAAGAAUAAUAUACCCAGGAUUUUAGACUAUGUAAUAAAGUGUAGGCUCUUUGACUCAAGAAAAAUCUGCUUUUCUAUUCUGCUUUUAUUUGCUGAUUUUUUUUGGUUAAAUUUCUUUCAGCAGAUAUAAAAGAUGAAGGGAAGCAAAAAGAAUGAGAUUUAAAUAAAGGAAAAGUGUUAUAUUCAGUAUUUUCAGUUCUUUACUAGGGAUAAUUAAAGAUAAAUGUUAUGGUAUUGUAUUUGUUCAAAUAGCAAUAUAAAAACACAUUUCUGUCAUGUUCACUAAUAGACUUUCGAGCUGUAUUUUCCUCAGUUUUAUCUUAUUUUCCUGGUACUAUUUAAGCAAUUAAUUGCUCCAAAGAGUGCUUUUUUAAAAAAAUGUUAAAUAAGACAAAUCCCAAAAUUACAUUUUAUUUAAUUUACAGCAAGAGUAAUGUUAAGUUCUGCUGUGUUAAAAUAAAUGAAUAGUUAAAACUGGAGUAUGAAAUAAAGUUCUAAAAGCAUUAAGCAGUUGACCUGGAAAGAGAAACAUUAAGAAUUACUGGAUUUUAUUAUUAAAGAGAAGAUGAAAUAAUAGCAUGAUGAAGAGCUAAUUAAGAAAUUCAGUGUUGCUAAUAGCUUUAUCCACUAGUGGUGCAACAUGGUGAAAGAGUUCCAUUUUCAAAUGAUGCAGUUUCACUCAUUUUGCCAGAACUGAAGUGGUUUUCUCCUGCAAACUCUAAGCCAAACUAAGUCUGAGCUAAUAGGGGGACUGUGUAAAGGGAGCUCCUUCCUCUCCUCUACUGCUCAUGCACAAAAGGAAACCAUAAUAUAUCUGCAGCAUAGAGUCUCAGACUCCAACCACUGUGACAAGGGUUCAGCAGCUACAUCCCAGAUACAUGCUGCUGAGCUGGGUCUGAUAGCAGAGGGCCAGGGAACACUGCCCAUGAAUCGGACACAGGUCAGGAUAUGCAUCACAUUGGGUGAUGGUUUUUGACAGCAAUAAGCUUUUUUGUAUUUUUUAUACCCAUUAUUACUUCAGACAAUGCCCUAGGAAAACAAGCUGGCUUCUUUUCUGGUUAGCGCAUCGUCAACAAAACUAAGUUUCAGGUGCAAAAUCUUCUAUUAAUCAUGAUGCCCUAGCUGAAAAUAAUGCAGCCUGACUUUAAGAUCUCAGAUGAACUUUGUGGGACUUGACAGCAUCUUUUUACUUCUAUACUGACCAUUCUAUUUCAGUUAUUGGCAAUCAUGGAGCCCCAUAAUUACAAUUUGCUUUUCAGACCUGUGUAUAACACCACUUUAAAAUGUAUGAUUGUGGCUAUAUUUAUUUUCAUGUUUCACAUUAUAAUGCCCUCAUGGAAAAAUCCUUCAGAAUUUAAUAAGGAUGAAAGCAAUAGGAUUCUAUUGAAAUUACUCUUCUAAAAAUGACAACUUCCUAUUUUUAAAAAUAAUGAAUUUAGAUAAAAUGUCUAUUCACUAUAGAAGUGAAUGGAGGCUUAUAUCCCAGAUAUAGAAUUUAAUAGGUGUGUUUACAAAUUCUGUAGAAAUGAUGAACUUCAUCUGCCCUGUACUGAUUGGGUGUUUGCUCUAACCCUCCACCCACCCAUCCCUCACAGUCUCUCUACCUCAUCUUCAAUCCACACCUGCCUGCCCCUCUUACCUAAAUCUGCCUGCCCUGUCCUCCUCACCUUCCUGUCCUUCAGUGUCCUUUCUCCCUUCAAUUUUCUUUCCAUUUAGCGUAUCCCCUUCUAACUACCCGCUUCCCUCCCACCCCCACAAUGGAAAUAACAUGCCCUUUGCUUCCACCAUAUUGUUCACUCUGCUUGUGUAAUAUAUUCCUUCCCCCACUCUGGGAUUUGUCUUGUAUAUUUAGGCUGUAAGCCCUUUGGAGCAGAGAUUGUCAGCUACUCUGUGUUUUGUACAGUGACUAGCACAAUGGGGACCCACUCCUGGUUGGUUCUCAGGCAUUAUUGUAUUAAAUUGUGUAAUUUU